AGACCCGAAACCCGGUGAUCUAGCCAUGGGCAGGUUGAAGGUUGGGUAACACUAACUGGAGGACCGAACCGACUAAUGUUGAAAAAUUAGCGGAUGACCUGUGGCUGGGGGUGAAAGGCCAAUCAAACCGGGAGAUAGCUGGUUCUCCCCGAAAGCUAUUUAGGUAGCGCCUCGUGAAUUCAUCUCCGGGGGUAGAGCACUGUUUCGGCUAGGGGGCCAUCCCGGCUUACCAACCCGAUGCAAACUGCGAAUACCGGAGAAUGUUAUCACGGGAGACACACGGCGGGUGCUAACGUCCGUCGUGAAGAGGGAAACAACCCAGACCGCCAGCUAAGGUCCCAAAGUCAUGGUUAAGUGGGAAACGAUGUGGGAAGGCCCAGACAGCCAGGAUGUUGGCUUAGAAGCAGCCAUCAUUUAAAGAAAGCGUAAUAGCUCACUGGUCGAGUCGGCCUGCGCGGAAGAUGUAACGGGGCUAAACCAUGCACCGAAGCUGCGGCAGCGACACUAUGUGUUGUUGGGUAGGGGAGCGUUCUGUAAGCCUGUGAAGGUGGCCUGUGAGGGUUGCUGGAGGUAUCAGAAGUGCGAAUGCUGACAUAAGUAACGAUAAAGCGGGUGAAAAGCCCGCUCGCCGGAAGACCAAGGGUUCCUGUCCAACGUUAAUCGGGGCAGGGUGAGUCGACCCCUAAGGCGAGGCCGAAAGGCGUAGUCGAUGGGAAACGGGUUAAUAUUCCCGUACUUGGUGUUACUGCGAAGGGGGGACGGAGAAGGCUAUGUUGGCCGGGCGACGGUUGUCCCGGUUUAAGCGUGUAGGUGUGUGUUCCAGGUAAAUCCGGUUCACUUUAACACUGAGGCGUGAUGACGAGGCACUACGGUGCUGAAGCAACAAAUGCCCUGCUUCCAGGAAAAGCCUCUAAGCAUCAGGUAACAUCAAAUCGUACCCCAAACCGACACAGGUGGUCAGGUAGAGAAUACCAAGGCGCUUGAGAGAACUCGGGUGAAGGAACUAGGCAAAAUGGUGCCGUAACUUCGGGAGAAGGCACGCUGACAUGUAGGUGAAGUGAUUUACUCAUGGAGCUGAAGUCAGUCGAAGAUACCAGCUGGCUGCAACUGUUUAUUAAAAACACAGCACUGUGCAAACACGAAAGUGGACGUAUACGGUGUGACGCCUGCCCGGUGCCGGAAGGUUAAUUGAUGGGGUCAGCGCAAGCGAAGCUCCUGAUCGAAGCCCCGGUAAACGGCGGCCGUAACUAUAACGGUCCUAAGGUAGCGAAAUUCCUUGUCGGGUAAGUUCCGACCUGCACGAAUGGCGUAAUGAUGGCCAGGCUGUCUCCACCCGAGACUCAGUGAAAUUGAACUCGCUGUGAAGAUGCAGUGUACCCGCGGCAAGACGGAAAGACCCCGUGAACCUUUACUAUAGCUUGACACUGAACAUUGAGCCUUGAUGUGUAGGAUAGGUGGGAGGCUUUGAAGUGUGG
RNAcentral lists this ribosomal RNA (1475 nucleotides) under Salmonella enterica subsp. enterica serovar Gaminara. RNAcentral describes it as "partial 23S ribosomal RNA". It matches the Rfam family "Bacterial large subunit ribosomal RNA", at positions 711 to 2167 of the family's 2925-position model. The record is from RNAcentral. Lineage: Bacteria; Pseudomonadati; Pseudomonadota; Gammaproteobacteria; Enterobacterales; Enterobacteriaceae.